This is a long non-coding RNA of Aethina tumida (small hive beetle), 861 nucleotides long. RefSeq lists it as uncharacterized. The transcript is spliced from 4 exons. The record is from RefSeq and is a predicted model, not a curated record. Lineage: Eukaryota; Metazoa; Arthropoda; Insecta; Coleoptera; Nitidulidae.
CUUUUCUAGAUAUUUCUUCGUCAUCCCCUGGGAUACUGAUUGUCCUGGACACAGUGCGUGUUUCUGUUUAUGUAUUUUUUGUUUACAUUUUAUUUAUGUAGGAAUAGGAAUGUAGGAAAAUAAGGACCACGUGUUGGUGCAUAAAACUUUAGUGUCUAAGAGUCGUGGUUUCUUCGAAGGCACCCCAUCUGAAAAUCUUCUGGCGCCCUAAAUUAAGAAUAUGGAGGGAUUCAACGUAAUAUAAUUUUAGGUGACGAUGACAAAGAUAUAUCUGUUAAACUGAAGAUUUUUAAAAAGGAAUUCUAGAAGCGAUGCCAUAAAGCUGUUUUGGUGAAUUAUUGAAGUCAUGGACGAUGGAACAAAGGAGGUUCCCAGAAUGUUUCAAUUUCCUCAUGACAUAUGAAUGAUCAAAGAGAAUCUGAUAUGAAAAAAGUGAAACCAAAGGUCAGUAAAAUAGUUACAUUUAGUUCGUUUGGUUUAAAAUACAUUUAAGGUAUACAUAGUCUGUCUCAAAAAUUAUGACUUUGGAUGUCAGAUACGCGAAAGGGGUAAACAAAUCGUAAUUUUUAUUUAGUAUUAUUCGAAAUGAAUUUCUUCAUCACUGUAAUUUGAAUCUCUUCUGUAGCCAGAUGUCUGCUGGUGGUAAAUCUAGCGGGUAUGGCGGAUGUUAUAAAAGAAAAAGGCCCUUUUUGGACAAAAACUUCAUCACUAUUCUAGACUUGUGAGCCGACGCGUUGCUAUGUAUUUUGACAAGCUGUGUCGAAAUAAAAGGGUUCAGUAUCGAUUUUCUACAGCCAUUGUCUCAAGAUUUUGGAUGAAGUCCAUUCUAUUCAUUGCUUAAUUAAAGAAAUACCAAGUACA